GUGGGGCUUCGGCCCUAUCGAGAUAGAACCCUUGCCUUUUUGAGUACCUUUCGUUUCCUCGGUAGGCUCGCCUGCCGAUGGACAAACAAACCAAACCCUGUAUUAUCAUCUGUAAUAGUCUGAGUAAACAAAAAUUAAAUCAAAACUUUCAACAACGGAUCUCUUGGUUCU
This 171-nucleotide unclassified non-coding RNA is filed under the name rhizosphere metagenome. RNAcentral's name for it is "partial ribosomal RNA internal transcribed spacer region". The record is from RNAcentral.